This 321-nucleotide ribosomal RNA is filed under the name uncultured eukaryote. Its description in RNAcentral is "partial 18S ribosomal RNA". It matches the Rfam family "Eukaryotic small subunit ribosomal RNA", at positions 1470 to 1796 of the family's 1831-position model. The record is from RNAcentral.
CCCUUAGAUGUCCUGGGCCGCACGCGCGCUACACUGACAUGUUCAACAAGCCUCCUAGUUCGACAGGAUUUGGGAAAUCUUUGAACGCAUGUCGUGAUAGGGAUAGAUCAUUGCAAUUAUUGAUCUUGAACGAGGAAUUCCUGGUAAACGCGAGUCAUCAGCUCGCAUUGAUUACGUCCCUGCCCUUUGUACACACCGCCCGUCGCACCUACCGAUUGAAUGUUUCGGUGAAGAUUCCGGAUAGGACUUUUUUGAUUUAUUUCAAUUUUGUCUUAAAAGCUAUCUAAACCUCAACAUUUAGAGGAAGGUGAAGUCGUAACA